This 4245-nucleotide unclassified non-coding RNA is filed under the name Rhagoletis pomonella (apple maggot). RNAcentral describes it as "protein hu-li tai shao, transcript variant X9". The record is from RNAcentral. Lineage: Eukaryota; Metazoa; Arthropoda; Insecta; Diptera; Tephritidae.
CAAAUAUUUGUGCUUAUAAGUUAGUGUGUAUGUAUAAUAUGCAACUAUGAUUGAUGUGUCCAACCCACCGCACAACACUCACAACCAUUUAUUUAUUUGGAUUCCAUUGCCUGUCCACUUUGCGAAGGUCUUCCGUUCAUCAACAACAGUCAUAACCUGAUCCACAAUUUUCUUCACCAUUUCAGUAACAAUCGAAAUUUCAGUGCAGCAGACAGCCGUGAAAGAAAAAUUAUAAAAAUAAUAUAGCAAAAAAAUAUAUAUAGAGAGCUAUAUAUAACAGCCAUAAAUAAGCGCAAAAACAACAAUAAAAAUGACCGAAGUUGAACAGCAGCCACCGCCACAGAAUGGCAUAGACUUAUCCGCCGCCGAGGAAGAUGAUAGCAGUAAAGCGCGACCAGCAGAUAUUGAGCAGGAUAUGCGUGAAAUGGAGCGCCGCAAGCGUGUUGAGGCCAUUAUGGGUUCCAAGCUCUUUCGCGAAGAAUUGGAGCGCAUUGUGGAUUCCGCACGUGAUGGUGGCGGCAUACUGCAACAGCUGUCCGAUAUAAUGGGCGUACCGACAUCAACGCGCGUUGGUAAUGUCUUCAAGGCUACGAAUUGUAUGCUGCCAAUCAAUGAUAUACGCGGCGUUGAAUCGAUGGGCUAUGCCAAGGGUGAGAAGAUUUUGCGUUGCAAAUUGGCUGCCACAUUCCGUUUGUUGGAUUUAUACGGUUGGACGCAAGGAUUGGGUGCACAAAUUACCGCACGUCUUAAGGUUGAUCAGGAGAAUUUCCUUGUGAAUCCAUAUGGCAUGAUGUAUCACGAAAUCACGGCGUCAUCGCUGAACAGAGUUGAUAUGCAGGGUCAGAUUGUGGAGCAGGGCACCACCAAUUUCGGAGUGAACAAGAAUCACUUCGCCUUGCACUCGGUGGUACAUGCCGCCCGCCCCGACAUCCGUUGCGCCAUCUACAUUGGCUGCACACCCGUCGUUGCUGUCUCUUCGCUAAAGGUCGGUCUACUGCCAUUGACACGCGACGCUUGCGUUUUGGGUGAAAUAACCACACACUCAUACACGGGCACACAAAUGGAUGCCGAUGAACGUGAUCGACUGGUGCGCGCACUCGGUCCCAACUCCAAGGUGUUGAUACUCAGCAAUUAUGGUGCAUUGUGUUGUGGUGAAACCAUCGAAGAGGCAUUCUUUGCUGCCAGCCAUAUUGUUAAGGCAUGUGAAACACAAUUACAACUACUGCCAGUUGGUGUAGACAAUUUGGUUUUGAUACCAGAGGAAUCGCGUAAAGCGAUUUUUGCAGAUGCUCGCCGCCCACCUGAGGAUUUGGAGAAGAAAUUUGCAGCUGCUGUGGCUACAGUCGAAGCAAAUGCUGCUGAGGCCGCAGGCGCUGCUGAUGGUGCUGCUGAUGGUAGUGGAGCAAUCGCUGUUAAAGCUGCUGUUGCUGGUGGCGCACCCAAGUGGCGUGUAGGUGGCGCUGAAUUUGAAGCGCUUAUGCGCAUGCUGGACAACGCCGGCUAUCGUACGGGUUACAUUUAUCGCCAUCCACUUAUUAAAUCGGAUCCGCCAAAGCCGAAGAAUGAUGUUGAACUGCCACCAGCGGUUAGCUCGCUGGGUUAUCUACUCGAGGAAGAGGAACUCUUGAAGCAAGGCAUUUGGAAGAAGGGCGAUUUGCGCAAGGGCGGCGAUCGAAGCCGAUGGCUCAACUCGCCAAAUGUCUAUCAGAAGGUUGAAGUACUGGAAACAGGCACACCCGAUCCCAAGAAGAUUACAAAGUGGGUCGCUGAAGGUUCACCAACACACUCUACACCAGUACGCAUCGAAGAUCCGUUGCAAUUUGUGCCAGCGGGAACAAAUCCAAAAGAAUUCAAGCGCUUGCAACAACAGAUCAAAGACAAUCGUCGCGCUGAUAAAAUAUCCGCCGGACCACAAUCACACAUCCUCGAAGGCGUUACAUGGGAUGAGGCCAAUCGCAUUAAGGAUGCGACUGUUUCAUCAGCCGGCGAUCAUGUUGUGCUAAUGGGCGCCGCCUCCAAGGGCAUCAUACAACGUGGCUAUCAGCAUAAUGCGGCCGUUUACAAAGCACCAUAUGCCAAGAACCCAUUCGAUAAUGUAACCGAUGAUGAAUUGAAUGAAUACAAACGCACGGUGGAGCGUAAGAAGAAGAGCAUUCAUGGUGAAUAUACCGAUACUGAUUUCUCCGAAUCGGAGCCGUUGAGUUCGAUGCCAAUCUCAGCACCACAACAGACGAAGCAAUUAACAAUCACAACUGCCGCAGUUAGUCAAUCAGAACCAGAAGAUGUUUCAGAACACCAAGUGAUGAGAAUAGAAACUAAACAAGCGCCAGUUCCAAGCCAACCCGAAUUAGUAUUGAGCGAUGCAACUCUAAGUUUCAUAAAUGGCGAACGUUCUCAUACGGCUGUGAAUCGAAAACCGCCUACGGGCCGAGGUGAGAAUGUACAAAAUGGUGAUCAUUCUGAGGCUCAUUUGAGCACAUUUUCACAAAGCAGUAAAGAGUUCCAGGAUGUGUCCACAGAUGGUUCGCCCAAGAAAGACAAGAAGAAGAAGAAGGGACUUAGGACACCAUCGUUUUUGAAGAAGAAGAAGGAGAAGAAGAAGGCCGAAGCUUAAGUUCAAAAACGAUUAACAGCUUAAAGCAGAAUAUGUUAUAGAAAAAGAGAGUAAAAAAAAGCAAAAAACAAGUAAAUUAAUGCAGCUAAGUGAAAAGUGUGGUAGAAAAGGACUAAACAAAAGGCAAUGAUAUGCAGAAUGGGCAGCUGUUUCUACAUAAAUUAGAUAUAAUAAAAAAAAUUAAGGAAAACAAUGCAUAAUAACAGCUAAAUUGGAAUGUCUACAACAACUACAGAAAAACGCAAUGACAUAUUUAUGCAUGCAACAGCAAUAACAACAAACAGAAAGAGCAAUUGCAUUUGAAUAAAAUUUCCAAAUACAACGGAAAUAAAAAUUUUACAGAAUCAAACAAUAGCCAACACACAACAAAUCAAACGAAUUAAGAGCAAAAGCAUAAAAGCGAUGAUGCACGAAAAACCAGCGAACAUUUAAAAUUUAAAAACGUAAUAAAGCAAAUGAAAUAAAAUAUAAUUAAUUUAAUUUAAGCGAAAAGGGGCAAUGACGACAGCGAGCGUAACAAACAAAAUGCUGAAGAGAGUAAUCUAUUUUGCCAAGCGAGGCGAAAUGCAAAUUUAUUAAUGAGACAUUAAUGCGUAUGACGAUUAUAAUGAAAAUUACAAUUAUUAUUGUACGUAUUUUAUUAUUGCAAACAAAACGAAGUAAAAAAAAAAACCAAAUGCAGCAUUCAGAAAUACACAAACAAAAACUUUGAAGAACACAACAUUUUAUAAUAAAUAUAUGUUUAAUAUAUACAAAAAACAGGUAAAUAAAUUUAGAUUUGUGAAAAGCAGUGUCAGAAAACAAAAAAGAAAAUUGAUGAGAAAUGAGAAAUGAUUAGUGUUGGCAAACGCUAAAACGAAGUGCAUUCAAUUGUGGGCGAGUGGGAUGCAUAUCUACAUCCAUACAUGCAUUAUUAAACAGGACAUAUGUACAUACGUACUUCGAGCGAAUGUCAGCGGCAAAAAAAAAAAAAUGGUUAUCUUACUUAGCCACGCCCUGAAAGUUGUAAAACUCGGCUGGGCCGAUACCUUAGAGCGUUAGUCGUUGGAUAGGUAUUUUUAAAUAUUCAUUAUUUUUACACUUCAAAUGAAGAUAUUCUUCACUUCAUUAUUACUUCUAUGGAAACUAAAUAGUAAAUAGAUUCAGUGAAAUCUUAAAGUAAUUGAGUUAGUAGCUGGUCGAUAGAGGUACUUUUGGUCAGCAUUAUCUGAAAAAGAUAUAUGUAUAGUGCUUAAAAAUACUUUUCCAAAUUCAUGAAUUUCCCGGGUCAUAAAUAAAAAUCGUAUAAAAAAAUUUCGAAAUUUUCUGUUUUUUUUUUUGGGCGUGGGCGUAUGCCAUCAAACUGGGGACUGUUAUUACAAAACUUUUUUCGCAACUGAGACUAGUACAUACGUAUGUACGUAGUACAUAAAUACUGCAGAAAACGAUUGCAUAUAUAAUUCAAUUCUUUCUUAAGUCGACUUAGGCGGUUAUUGCUUAUGACCACAGACAUAUAUUUUUAGAAAGGACUGUCGCGCAGCGAGUGUUGGCACACACUAAAACUGUAGCGCAAUACGGAAAAUUUGUUUACAAUUAAAAUCUCUUAUAGCAUUUAAAAACUUAAAAAAAAAUUAAAAUCAAGUGCAAAGCAA